This 433-nucleotide ribosomal RNA is filed under the name uncultured bacterium. RNAcentral's name for it is "partial 16S ribosomal RNA". It matches the Rfam family "Bacterial small subunit ribosomal RNA", at positions 29 to 507 of the family's 1533-position model. The record is from RNAcentral.
AACGAACGCUGGCGGCAUGCCUAACACAUGCGAGUCGAACGAGACCUUCGGGUCUAGUGGCGCACGGGUGCGUAACGCGUGGGAACCUGCCCUUAGGUUCGGAAUAACUCCCCGAAAGGGGUGCUAAUACCGGAUAAUGUCUUCGGACCAAAGAUUUAUCGCCUUUGGAUGGGCCCGCGUUGGAUUAGCUAGUUGGUAGGGUAAAAGCCUACCAAGGCGACGAUCCAUAGCUGGUCUGAGAGGAUGAUCAGCCACACUGGGACUGAGACACGGCCCAGACUCCUACGGGAGGCAGCAGUGGGGAAUAUUGGACAAUGGGCGAAAGCCUGAUCCAGCAAGGCCGCGUGAGUGAUGAAGGCCUUAGGGUUGUAAAGCUCUUUUACCCGGGAUGAUAAUGACAGUACCGGGAGAAUAAGCGCCGGCUAACUCCGUG